GGGGGUAUAGCUCAGAGGCAGAGCAUUUGACCGCAGAUGAAGAGGUUCCCAGUUCAACUCUGGGUGCUCCCUUA
This 74-nucleotide transfer RNA is filed under the name Merluccius polli (Benguela hake). Its description in RNAcentral is "tRNA-Cys". It matches the Rfam family "tRNA". From Rfam's summary of the family: Transfer RNA (tRNA) molecules are approximately 80 nucleotides in length. Their secondary structure includes four short double-helical elements and three loops (D, anti-codon, and T loops). The record is from RNAcentral. Lineage: Eukaryota; Metazoa; Chordata; Actinopteri; Gadiformes; Merlucciidae.